RNAcentral lists this ribosomal RNA (497 nucleotides) under uncultured bacterium. Its description in RNAcentral is "partial 16S ribosomal RNA". It matches the Rfam family "Bacterial small subunit ribosomal RNA", at positions 28 to 507 of the family's 1533-position model. The record is from RNAcentral.
GAUGAACGCUGGCGGCGUGCCUAAUACAUGCCAGUCGAGCGAACAGACGAGGAGCUUGCUCCCCUGACGUUAGCGGCGGACGGGUGAGUAACACGUGGAUAACCUACCUAUAAGACUGGGAUAACUUCGGGAAACCGGAGCUAAUACCGGAUAAUAUAUUCAACCGCAUGGUUCAAUAGUGAAAGACGGUUUUGCUGUCACUUAUAGAUGAAUCCGCGCCGCAUUAGCUAGUUGGUAAGGUAACGGCUUACCAAGGCAACGAUGCGUAGCCGACCUGAGAGGGUGAUCAGCCACACUGGAACUGAGACACGGUCCAGACUCCUACGGGAGGCAGCAGUAGGGAAUCUUCCGCAAUGGGCGAAAGCCUGAUGCAGCCACGCCGCGUGAGUGAUGAAGGUCUUCGGGUCGUAAAGCUCUGUUAUUAGGGAAGAACAAAUGUGUAAGAAACUAUGCACGUCUUGACGGUACCUAAACAGAAAGCCACGGCUAACUACGUG